Molecule: non-coding RNA, 81 nt
Filed under: Leptolyngbya sp.
Lineage: Bacteria; Bacillati; Cyanobacteriota; Cyanophyceae; Leptolyngbyales; Leptolyngbyaceae
Description: Glutamine-I sequence
Rfam family: Glutamine riboswitch aptamer (glnA leader)
Source: RNAcentral
GACGUUCAUCUCUCUUUGCUAAUGAUUUUUUGAAUUCGCGAGAAGAGACGGAAGUAAGGAAACAUCCCGAAGGAACGCACC